GCACUGCUGAUGAGUCCCAAACAGGACGAAACAGGUUUGUAGUGC
Molecule: non-coding RNA, 45 nt
Filed under: Echinostoma caproni
Lineage: Eukaryota; Metazoa; Platyhelminthes; Trematoda; Plagiorchiida; Echinostomatidae
Source: RNAcentral